This 169-nucleotide unclassified non-coding RNA is filed under the name uncultured fungus. Its description in RNAcentral is "sequence contains ITS1". Lineage: Eukaryota; Fungi. The record is from RNAcentral.
UUGACUAUUUUAUAGUGCUUCAGAGGGCAAGUUUAGAGAGUUUUUUUGCUUUCGGCGGGCUGUAGCUGCCCCGCCCUGGGGCAGCCCGCCGAGGCAACGUAGAAACGACCACAGUGGUUUGGAGUUUUGCAACUCUGUAAUGAUCCCUCCGCUGGUUCACCAACGGAGA